This 253-nucleotide ribosomal RNA is filed under the name uncultured bacterium. Its description in RNAcentral is "partial 16S ribosomal RNA". It matches the Rfam family "Bacterial small subunit ribosomal RNA", at positions 524 to 773 of the family's 1533-position model. The record is from RNAcentral.
UACGUAGGGGCCUAGCGUUGUCCGGAUUUAUUGGGGCGUAAAGAGCUCGUAGGCGGUUCGGUAAGUCAGGUGUGAAAUCUCCACGCUCAACGUGGAGGCGCCACCUGAAACUGCCGUGACUCGAGUCGGUAGGGGAGUGUGGAAUUCCCGGUGUGAGCGGUGAAAGUGCGCAGAUAUCAGGAAGAACACCCGUGGCGAAGGCGGCUCUCUGGUACGUGACUGACGCUGAGACGCGAAAGCGUGGGGAGCAAAC